GGCCAUCCUGUAACCGUCGCAUGCGAGCGCGACUGGGCGGCUGCGGCCAUGGCGCAGUCGGGCGCGUGCGGCGGCAGGGCGGCCGGGCGCGUGCGACGGCCGGGCGGCGCGGGGCGAGCCACGGUCUGGAGCGGCAACGCGUGGAUGAGUCGGGCAUCCCGUCUUCCUCCUGUGUAGAAGAACCACCAUGGAGGCCGGAGUUGGAUGCCACGCCGUUGGGGAGCCCGAGCGUUGUCGGGUGCUGGCGAGUGCACUGACUCGGUUCAGUUAUCCAGUCCGUGUCGACUUCCAAUUGUAUGCCGUCAUUUGCCUGAUUAAGGAUGCUAUUUACAACUUCAUGGUUGUCUCAUUGAUUCCCGUCGUUUGACUUCAUGGUUCGCCUGAUUCAGGAUGCUAUUUACAAUUUCAGGAUUACUCUUCACAUGUGCGGAGAAAAGCGUUGGGACGGGCGCUGUCGGCAUAGACGGAGCCCGUGCGGUCAGGCAGGGCGACCCUAGUCUGCAACGCCAAGCUCCAUGGCGUUGCAGCCUGCAUAGAAGCGCCAAAGUGCAUGGCGUUUUUCGUGCGGUCUGCAACGCCGCAGUAGACAGACGUCUGUAUUUAGAGCAGAAACGUGAGAGUAGACUGGCGUUUUUAUAUACACCAACAACGCCACGGGUUCUGACGUUUCUAAAAGGAUUAGAUCGUGAAAUACUUUCAGAUCGAGUUUAUUCUGUGCAUUUUUUUUCGUCUUGUGGGUCAAAACAGUGAAAAAAACCUUGAUAUUAUUGGUUCCACAUGACUUCUUGAUGUGAUAGUAAUUCGUCUGAGCCAGGCACAUUCUCG
RNAcentral lists this long non-coding RNA (825 nucleotides) under Hordeum vulgare. RNAcentral's name for it is "long non-coding RNA (HVUL_LNC017029)". Lineage: Eukaryota; Viridiplantae; Streptophyta; Magnoliopsida; Poales; Poaceae. The record is from RNAcentral.